Molecule: ribosomal RNA, 483 nt
Filed under: uncultured bacterium
Lineage: Bacteria
Description: partial 16S ribosomal RNA
Rfam family: Bacterial small subunit ribosomal RNA
Source: RNAcentral
AUUGAACGCUGGCGGCAGGCCUAACACAUGCAAGUCGAGCGGAUGAAGGGAGCUUGCUCCUGGAUUCAGCGGCGGACGGGUGAGUAAUGCCUAGGAAUCUGCCUGGUAGUGGGGGAUAACGUCCGGAAACGGGCGCUAAUACCGCAUACGUCCUGAGGGAGAAAGUGGGGGAUCUUCGGACCUCACGCUAUCAGAUGAGCCUAGGUCGGAUUAGCUAGUUGGUGGGGUAAAGGCCUACCAAGGCGACGAUCCGUAACUGGUCUGAGAGGAUGAUCAGUCACACUGGAACUGAGACACGGUCCAGACUCCGACGGGAGGCAGCAGUGGGGAAUAUUGGACAAUGGGCGAAAGCCUGAUCCAGCCAUGCCGCGUGUGUGAAGAAGGUCUUCAGAUUGUAAAGCACUUUAAGUUGGGAGGAAGGGCAGUAAGUUAAUACCUUGCUGUUUUGACGUUACCAACAGAAUAAGCACCGGCUAACUUCGU